GCAUCUCAUCUUGGUCCUUGCAGAUUUGCCAGCCGUUCAUCUCCAGGUACUCCUCGGCAUCGGACGCCUCGGCGUCGGACGUAUUGGCGAGAGUCAAGUUGGAGCUGUUGCUCUCUGGAUGAAGAGAAAAUUAAAAGCUGUGCUGCUGAUCAAAAAUGCCAAGUGAUCCAAGGGUCACGUAAACAGACCACCGAAGUAACAGCACGUCCCGAGUCAACAAGCUCCAAGAAUGACUGGUGCGCCAACCAGCAAGGGCUGACGUAGAAAAACAACUCGUUCACCUCGAUCUGCUUGGACUCAAACUGUCGUCAAAACAAAACAGAAGGACUCAGCAGUUUUGUACUUUAAUCGUCAUGAGGGACAGGGGAAUAAAAUGACUGAGUCAUCAGGGCCCUGGUUGUUCAAAACACGAUUAUUUGCUCAAAUCAUAGUUGUUAGUUAAAGGCAUCAUCAAAGUUAAUCAUGUGGUCACUGGUUAGUGCCAAUAUAUUCCUCAUUUUGUUCAUGUUCCAUUCAAAUUAACUGUUGGUUAAAUACACUUAAACAGUGGUUAAAAAAUAAACAGGUUUUGAACAACC
Syngnathus acus (greater pipefish) is the source of this 578-nucleotide long non-coding RNA. RefSeq lists it as uncharacterized. Lineage: Eukaryota; Metazoa; Chordata; Actinopteri; Syngnathiformes; Syngnathidae. The record is from RefSeq and is a predicted model, not a curated record. The transcript has 3 exons.